GCGGCUGUGGCGGAAUUGGCAGACGCGCUAGGUUGAGGGCCUAGUGGGAGAUAAUCCCGUGGAAGUUCGAAUCUUCUCAGCCGCA
This 85-nucleotide transfer RNA is filed under the name bacterium. Its description in RNAcentral is "tRNA-Leu". It matches the Rfam family "tRNA". Rfam says of the family: Transfer RNA (tRNA) molecules are approximately 80 nucleotides in length. The record is from RNAcentral. RNAcentral also lists the same sequence under 5 other names.